AAAGCCCACCAGACCACCGCUGGUGCAAUCUUGGAAACAAGGCACUGGAGGAACGUCCGGACUGCACAGGGCAGCGUAGCAGCUAACGGCUGUCCACUGAAAACCUUGCCCGCAAGGGGGAGGCAUAAGGUGCGGAUCAGAGCAACAGAGACGAGUCGCAAAGGAGCCGCAAGGCUACCUGGCGGGUGAAACGGGCAAUCUCUACGCGCAGCAAUACCAAGUAGGCCAGCGUUGACGGGGCCCCCGGAGCUGGCGGGUAGGUAGCAUCGAGCCGACUGGGUGACCAGCGGCCCAGAGUAAUGGUGGUCACGUGCGGAAAGGAGAACUCCUGACCGCAUGCACAGAAUCCGGCUUAUCGGUGGGCUUUACAC
RNAcentral lists this RNase P RNA (371 nucleotides) under Candidatus Aalborgicola bjergmarkensis. RNAcentral's name for it is "RNase P RNA component class A". It matches the Rfam family "Bacterial RNase P class A". Rfam says of the family: Ribonuclease P (RNase P) is a ubiquitous endoribonuclease, found in archaea, bacteria and eukarya as well as chloroplasts and mitochondria. Its best characterised activity is the generation of mature 5'-ends of tRNAs by cleaving the 5'-leader elements of precursor-tRNAs. The record is from RNAcentral. Lineage: Bacteria; Pseudomonadati; Pseudomonadota; Betaproteobacteria; Burkholderiales; Comamonadaceae.